AGUCGAGGGGCAGCAUGAUUGAAGCUUGCUUCAAUUGAUGGCGACCGGCGCACGGGUGAGUAACGCGUAUCCAACCUUCCGUACACUCAGGGAUAGCCUUUCGAAAGAAAGAUUAAUACCUGAUGGUAUGAUGAGAUUGCAUGAUAGCAUCAUUAAAGAUUUAUCGGUGUACGAUGGGGAUGCGUUCCAUUAGGUAGUAGGCGGGGUAACGGCCCACCUAGCCUACGAUGGAUAGGGGUUCUGAGAGGAAGGUCCCCCACAUUGGAACUGAGACACGGUCCAAACUCCUACGGGAGGCAGCAGUGAGGAAUAUUGGUCAAUGGACGAGAGUCUGAACCAGCCAAGUAGCGUGAAGGAUGAAGGUCUUACGGAUUGUAAACUUCUUUUAUAAGGGAAUAAAACCUCCCACGUGUGGGAGCUUGUAUGUACCUUAUGAAUAAGCAUCGGCUAACUCCGUGCCAGCAGCCGCGGUAAUACGGAGGAUGCGAGCGUUAUCCGGAUUUAUUGGGUUUAAAGGGAGCGCAGACGGGUCGUUAAGUCAGCUGUGAAAGUUUGGGGCUCAACCUUAAAAUUGCAGUUGAUACUGGCGUCCUUGAGUGCGGUUGAGGUGUGCGGAAUUCGUGGUGUAGCGGUGAAAUGCUU
This 642-nucleotide ribosomal RNA is filed under the name uncultured bacterium. Its description in RNAcentral is "bacterial SSU rRNA". It matches the Rfam family "Bacterial small subunit ribosomal RNA", at positions 60 to 691 of the family's 1533-position model. The record is from RNAcentral.